RNAcentral lists this ribosomal RNA (161 nucleotides) under uncultured bacterium. RNAcentral's name for it is "partial 16S rRNA". It matches the Rfam family "Bacterial small subunit ribosomal RNA", at positions 358 to 511 of the family's 1533-position model. The record is from RNAcentral.
GGAAUCUUCCACAAUGGGCGAAAGCCUGAUGGGGCAACGCCGCGUGUGUGAUGAAGGGUUUCGGCUCGUAAAACACUGUUGUAAGAGAAGAAUGACAUUGAGAGUAACUGUUCAAUGUGUGACGGUAUCUUACCAGAAAGGAACGGCUAAAUACGUGCCAG